Molecule: ribosomal RNA, 1192 nt
Filed under: Bacillus mycoides
Lineage: Bacteria; Bacillati; Bacillota; Bacilli; Caryophanales; Bacillaceae
Description: partial 16S ribosomal RNA
Rfam family: Bacterial small subunit ribosomal RNA (bases 239-1179)
Source: RNAcentral
CCCAGAUAAGCCUCGGCUGAAUUAUGAUGCCCGCAGCCGCAGAGUACUUCACGUACGGUGGCCAAGCGGUUAUCGUCGGAAUUUUCUGGCGCGUACAGCGGCGCGAGCUCGCUGUUUCAUUACGUCUGAUUUGCAAAGCCCCCGGCUCAAUCCCGUGGAGGGUUCAUCCUGAAAGCUGCGGAGCCUUGCGUCGCGGAAGAGGAAAGUGGAAUUUUCCAUCGUGUAGGAGGGUGAGGGGAUGCGGUAGUAGAUAUGGGGGAACCCCCCGUGGGGGAAGGGGGUGUUUCUGGUCUUGGUAAUCUGACACCUGAGGGGGGGCAAAGCGUGGGGGGCCAAACAAGGGUUUAGAUUACCCCGUUGUAGUCCACGCCUUAAACGAUGGGUGUUACGUGUUAUAGGGUUUUCCGCCCUUUAGGUGCUGCAAAGUUAAUCGCUAUUAAGCAUUCUUCCGCCUGGGGAGGUAUGGCCGCUAUGGCUGAAAAACUCCAAAGGGGUUUAGGGGGGGGGCCCUGCCCACGCGGUGGGGCAUGUGGUUUAUUUUGGGGGAAGUAACGCGACAGAACCUUUCCGGGUUCUUGACUUUCCUUCUUAAGUAUCACUAGAGAUAGGUGGUUCUCUUUUUGGAGCGAGAGUUUUCAGGUUGUGCCAUGGUUGUAGGUCAGCUCGUUUUUCAAGUGAGAUGUUUGGUUAAUUCCCGACCAAACGAGUACGCAACCGACUUGAAAGCUUUCAUAGUUGCACUGGGGGAUGCUACUUCAGACUUUGGUGCACUCUGCGGAUGAUUGCCUAGUGCUGACCUCCCGUAGGAAGUUUGGGCCGAUGUCGUCAAGUCCCAGUGUGGCCGAUGCACCCUCUCAUGACGUGGGCUACGCAUCGUUGCUACAUUGGUGAGCGGUUACCUCACCAGAGCUAGCUAAUGCGACCGCGAGGUGGAGCUCAUCUCAUAAAACCGUUUUCAGUUCGGAUUGUAGCCGCCUUUCAACUUUCGUACCAUGAAGCUGGAUUCGCUAUGUUAUCGCGGUAUUAGCAUGCCGCGGUGAAUACGUUCCCGGAGCCUUGUCCCAGUCUUAUGGGCAGGUUACACCACGAGUGUUUGUAACACCCGAAGUCGGUGGGGUAACCCACUUCUUUAAGAGUUUGAUGCUGGCUCAUCAUGCUGAGCCGUGGAUCAACCUCUAUAGAGUACGCCCGU